RNAcentral lists this ribosomal RNA (564 nucleotides) under Rhodotorula mucilaginosa. RNAcentral's name for it is "eukaryotic LSU rRNA". It matches the Rfam family "Eukaryotic large subunit ribosomal RNA", at positions 68 to 648 of the family's 3401-position model. Lineage: Eukaryota; Fungi; Basidiomycota; Microbotryomycetes; Sporidiobolales; Sporidiobolaceae. The record is from RNAcentral.
ACAAGGAUUCCCCUAGUAGCGGCGAGCGAAGCGGGAAGAGCUCAAAUUUAUAAUCUGGCACCUUCGGUGUCCGAGUUGUAAUCUCUAGAAAUGUUUUCCGCGUUGGACCGCACACAAGUCUGUUGGAAUACAGCGGCAUAGUGGUGAGACCCCCGUAUAUGGUGCGGACGCCCAGCGCUUUGUGAUACAUUUUCGAAGAGUCGAGUUGUUUGGGAAUGCAGCUCAAAUUGGGUGGUAAAUUCCAUCUAAAGCUAAAUAUUGGCGAGAGACCGAUAGCGAACAAGUACCGUGAGGGAAAGAUGAAAAGCACUUUGGAAAGAGAGUUAACAGUACGUGAAAUUGUUGGAAGGGAAACGCUUGAAGUCAGACUUGCUUGCCGAGCAAUCGGUUUGCAGGCCAGCAUCAGUUUUCCGGGAUGGAUAAUGGUAGAGAGAAGGUAGCAGUUUCGGCUGUGUUAUAGCUCUCUGCUGGAUACAUCUUGGGGGACUGAGGAACGCAGUGUGCCUUUGGCGGGGGUUUCGACCUCUUCACACUUAGGAUGCUGGUGGAAUGGCUUUAAACGAC